AUCGUUUCUCGGCCUUUUGGCCAAGAUCAAAUGUAGUAUCUGUUCUUAUCAGUUUAAGGGAUCGCUAGUCAGGGAUUUUGUAGACUCUCCCUCAGUUGGGGUUUGGAGAAUAUCUCUCAGUUGAGAAUCUCAAAUGAUUUUCUUAUGAUUAGACUGAGGUUAUGGGUUUGGGGCAGAAAGGCCACAUAAGAGGCUAGUUGCCGUGCUCAUUACACCUCAUCAAGGGUAUGUAUUUAUUGCUGUUGAUGUUAACUCUU
Molecule: small nuclear RNA, 257 nt
Filed under: Lynx canadensis (Canada lynx)
Lineage: Eukaryota; Metazoa; Chordata; Mammalia; Carnivora; Felidae
Description: U2 spliceosomal RNA (ENSLCNG00005022046.1)
Rfam family: U2 spliceosomal RNA (bases 1-163)
About the family: U2 is a small nuclear RNA (snRNA) component of the spliceosome (involved in pre-mRNA splicing). Complementary binding between U2 snRNA (in an area lying towards the 5' end but 3' to hairpin I) and the branchpoint sequence (BPS) of the intron results the bulging out of an unpaired adenosine, on the BPS, which initiates a nucleophilic attack at the intronic 5' splice site, thus starting the first of two transesterification reactions that mediate splicing.
Source: RNAcentral